CCUACGGGUGGCAGCAGUGAGGAAUAUUGGUCAAUGGACGAGAGUCUGAACCAGCCAAGUAGCGUGAAGGAUGACGGCCCUAUGGGUUGUAAACUUCUUUUAUAUGGGACUAAAAUGUUCCACGUGUGGCAGUUUGUAUGUACCAUAUGAAUAAGGAUCGGCUAACUCCGUGCCAGCAGCCGCGGUAAUACGGAGGAGCCGAGCGUUAUCCGGAUUUAUUGGGUUUAAGGGGUGCGUAGGUGGGUUGUUAAGUCAGUGUUGAAAGUUUGCGGCUCAACCGUUAAAGUGCAGUUGAAACUGGCAGUCUUGAGUACAGAUGAGGUGGGCGGAAUGUGUGGUGUAGCGGUGAAAUGCUUAGAUAUCACGCAGAACACCGAUUGCGAAGGCAGCUCACGGAACUUCAACUGACGCUGAGGCUCGAAAGCGUGGGUAUCAAACAGGAUUAGAUACCCGAGUAGUC
This 460-nucleotide ribosomal RNA is filed under the name uncultured bacterium. RNAcentral's name for it is "partial 16S ribosomal RNA". It matches the Rfam family "Bacterial small subunit ribosomal RNA", at positions 338 to 795 of the family's 1533-position model. The record is from RNAcentral.